Molecule: ribosomal RNA, 253 nt
Filed under: uncultured bacterium
Lineage: Bacteria
Description: partial 16S ribosomal RNA
Rfam family: Bacterial small subunit ribosomal RNA
Source: RNAcentral
UACGGAGGGUGCGAGCGUUGUUCGGAAUUACUGGGCGUAAAGCGCGUGUAGGCGGCCUCUUCAGUCUGGUGUGAAAGCCCGGGGCUCAACCCCGGAAUUGCCUUUAAGACUGCAUCGCUAGAAUUGUGGAGAGGUAAGUGGAAUUCCGAGUGUAGAGGUGAAAUUCGUAGAUAUUCGGAAGAACACCAGUGGCGAAGGCGACUUACUGGACACAUAUUGACGCUGAGGUGCGAAAGCGUGGGGAGCAAACAGG